RNAcentral lists this ribosomal RNA (402 nucleotides) under uncultured Desulfobulbus sp. RNAcentral's name for it is "bacterial SSU rRNA". It matches the Rfam family "Bacterial small subunit ribosomal RNA", at positions 984 to 1382 of the family's 1533-position model. Lineage: Bacteria; Pseudomonadati; Thermodesulfobacteriota; Desulfobulbia; Desulfobulbales; Desulfobulbaceae. The record is from RNAcentral.
ACAUCCCGGAGACCCUUAGGAACUAGGGGUGGCUUCCAUCUGGAGAAUCUGGAGACAGGUGCUGCAUGGCUGUCGUCAGCUCGUGUCGUGAGAUGUUGGGUUAAGUCCCGCAACGAGCGCAACCCUUGCCUUUAGUUGCCAGCAGUUCGGCUGGGCACUCUAAAGGGACUGCCGGUGUUAAACCGGAGGAAGGUGGGGAUGACGUCAAGUCCUCAUGGCCUUUAUGACCAGGGCUACACACGUACUACAAUGGCCGAUACAAAGGGCAGCGACACUGCGAGGUGAAGCCAAUCCCGUAAAAUCGGUCUCAGUCCGGAUUGGAGUCUGCAACUCGACUCCAUGAAGUUGGAAUCGCUAGUAAUCGUGGAUCAGCAUGCCACGGUGAAUACGUUCCCGGGCCUU